Small nucleolar RNA from Ailuropoda melanoleuca (giant panda), 122 nucleotides. The record is from Ensembl. Lineage: Eukaryota; Metazoa; Chordata; Mammalia; Carnivora; Ursidae.
AAACAACAUUUUGGCAGAACAUCGAAGUUGUUUGACACAAUUUGAGCGUGAUAUGGCAAGAAGCUCUCACCUAUUCCAGCGCUCUCCUCCAUGAGACCAACUGUUAUAUAGACUUAAACAGU